AUUUAAGUAGUUUAUUUAGAAUAAUAAUUUGUGGAGUUAUAGGUACUAUAUAGUCUUGGAUCG
Molecule: transfer RNA, 63 nt
Filed under: Hospesneotomae nitida
Lineage: Eukaryota; Metazoa; Arthropoda; Insecta; Hemiptera; Reduviidae
Description: Triatoma nitida tRNA-His
Source: RNAcentral